This is a long non-coding RNA of Dermochelys coriacea (leatherback sea turtle), 214 nucleotides long. RefSeq lists it as uncharacterized. The record is from RefSeq and is a predicted model, not a curated record. Lineage: Eukaryota; Metazoa; Chordata; Testudines; Dermochelyidae. The transcript has 3 exons.
AUGAUUCUGGGGUGUAUUAAUAGGAGUGUUGUAUGUAAGACACAUGAAAGAAUUCUUCCGCUCUGCUCUGCACUGACUAGGCCUCUGCUGGAGUACCGUGUCCCGUUCUGGGCGCCACAUUUCAGGAAGGAUGUGGACAAAUCAGAGAGAGUCCAGAGAAGAGCCACACAAAUGAUUAAAGGUCUAGAAAACAUGACCUCUGAGGGAAGAUUGA